CUGCCAUUGGUUGGUAUUCCUUUCCAUAUGAAGGUAUAAGCUAAUUUUUCUUAAUUCCUCAUCUCCUUUGAUUCCAAUUCAAGUGUGGUGCAAAUGAAUUUUAUAAUCUGAUUUUAGAAAUAAACUUGGUUCUCAAUUUUGUUAUUGAUUAGCAAAUAUAGUUAUGAUAAGAGUUGUUAAACUUAAAUAUUGAAUAUUUUAUCUUUCUUAUUGGAUUGAAGCUUCUAAUAUGAAGUAAGCCUCUUAAGUAAGUUUAUAAAAACUGAUUUUUAUAAAUUAUGUGUCUUGAUAAUACUCUCUGAAAUCAUAAUGAAGUUAAUUAGCGAUAGAAUUGAUGUUGUGAGUUGGAUUAGUAGAAUGGAUCGUAUAUAAGGGUUGUGGUGGUUAGUUCAUGGAAGAGCUUAAAAGUAUGAGUAAUUCAAUUUGUUUAUCUAAAUUGUUGUGAGGAUGGUUAAUGAUUAUUGUUAUUGUUUUGAGGUCGUUGUUGGAGUAUCUAUAUGGAGAUAAUUAUGAAGUUCGAGCUAUAGUGGUUAUCCAAAAUGUCGAGUUAUUGGGAAUUGUUUCAAGGGUUCAUUGUUAGUGAUUUUGCAGGGUUGAUGUCGAGGACUUGGAAUAUGAUUAUUGAUCAAGAAGAAGAUUUUUUAUGUUAUGAGAUGGUGGACUGAGGUUAAAGUUCGAUGCUUUGUUUGGAAGUAUUUGUAAUAUGUUAUUUGAUUUUCAAGUUGUUAUGUUGUGGGCCCCUGACCCACGGAUCCAGGAUCGUUUUUAUAGGUUUUGUUUCCGCUGUGAAUAAAUGUAAAUUUGAGGAUUCUUAAGU
This is a long non-coding RNA of Beta vulgaris subsp. vulgaris (sugar beet), 817 nucleotides long. RefSeq lists it as uncharacterized. The record is from RefSeq and is a predicted model, not a curated record. NCBI's taxonomy places the organism in Eukaryota, Viridiplantae, Streptophyta, Magnoliopsida, Caryophyllales, Amaranthaceae. The transcript is spliced from 2 exons.